RNAcentral lists this ribosomal RNA (253 nucleotides) under uncultured bacterium. RNAcentral describes it as "partial 16S ribosomal RNA". It matches the Rfam family "Bacterial small subunit ribosomal RNA", at positions 524 to 776 of the family's 1533-position model. The record is from RNAcentral.
CACGUAGGGCGCAAGCGUUGUCCGGAAUUAUUGGGCGUAAAGAGCUCGUAGGCGGACUGUUGCGUCCGCUGUGAAAAGCUGGGGCUUAACCCUGGCCUUGCAGUGGAUACGGGCAGACUAGAGGUAGGUAGGGGAGAAUGGAAUUCCUGGUGUAGCGGUGAAAUGCGCAGAUAUCAGGAAGAACACCCGUGGCUAAGGCGGCUCUCUGGGACGGUACUGACGCUGAGACGCGAAAGCGUGGGGAGCGAACAGG